Phacochoerus africanus (Common warthog) is the source of this 463-nucleotide long non-coding RNA. RefSeq lists it as uncharacterized. The transcript has 2 exons. Lineage: Eukaryota; Metazoa; Chordata; Mammalia; Artiodactyla; Suidae. The record is from RefSeq and is a predicted model, not a curated record.
CCCUCAUGGAUGCCCAUUGGGUUUGCUACCACUGAGCCGCAACAGGAACUGUUAACUAACUGCCUCUCUGUUGGUCGGUUGUCCCUUAAGAACAAGGGGCGUCGUUUUGUUCAGGUGUCCUUUUGUGUCUUACAGGAGAUUUUAAGGUUUUCCUCACAGGCAUUUUGUGUGUAACUGAAGCUUGUCCCCAAGUGUCUGACUUGCCCUGUUGCUGCUGUUAACGCGCCACCCCUGGUGCUGCCGUCAUCGCCUCCGAACCGCCCGUCUGUGCCGAGGACGGCGGCUGGUGGUGGUGCCGGUUUUGUGUUCUGCCGCCUUGCUGAACUCUUUCCUCAUCUGGCUGCUGAAGGAGCUGGAGAUAGCGGGCAUUCCCUGUGGCCCUGAUCCCUGCAGAGAUGCCGCACGUGGAGUAGGGUUUGCACAUGGGCUGUCCUGUUGAGGAAGUGUCUGUCAUUCCAUGUAG